GCCUCCAUAGUCUAAUGGAUAGGAUAAAGGGCUUCUAAAUCUCUGGUCUAAGUUCAAUUCUUAUUGAACGCA
Molecule: transfer RNA, 72 nt
Filed under: Punica granatum (pomegranate)
Lineage: Eukaryota; Viridiplantae; Streptophyta; Magnoliopsida; Myrtales; Lythraceae
Rfam family: tRNA
About the family: Transfer RNA (tRNA) molecules are approximately 80 nucleotides in length. Their secondary structure includes four short double-helical elements and three loops (D, anti-codon, and T loops). Further hydrogen bonds mediate the characteristic L-shaped molecular structure. tRNAs have two regions of fundamental functional importance: the anti-codon, which is responsible for specific mRNA codon recognition, and the 3' end, to which the tRNAs corresponding amino acid is attached (by aminoacyl-tRNA synthetases). tRNAs cope with the degeneracy of the genetic code in two manners: having more than one tRNA (with a specific anti-codon) for a particular amino acid; and 'wobble' base-pairing, i.e. permitting non-standard base-pairing at the 3rd anti-codon position.
Source: Rfam by way of RNAcentral